GGCCAUUUAUCUUUUAGGAAAGAAAAUGUUUUGAAAGCAUCUUAAAAGGGUUCGAAUCCCUUAAUAGCCU
RNAcentral lists this transfer RNA (70 nucleotides) under Crangon hakodatei. RNAcentral describes it as "tRNA-Ser". It matches the Rfam family "tRNA". Rfam says of the family: Transfer RNA (tRNA) molecules are approximately 80 nucleotides in length. Their secondary structure includes four short double-helical elements and three loops (D, anti-codon, and T loops). The record is from RNAcentral. Lineage: Eukaryota; Metazoa; Arthropoda; Malacostraca; Decapoda; Crangonidae.